This 8921-nucleotide long non-coding RNA is filed under the name Pelobates cultripes (western spadefoot toad). The record is from RNAcentral. Lineage: Eukaryota; Metazoa; Chordata; Amphibia; Anura; Pelobatidae.
CCACAUUUCACCUCUCUCAGGGAUCACAAGAUACAAGACACGGGACAGAAUCCAAAGUACACCAGUCCAUAAUAAUUCAGGACAAGAAAUGAUCAGGCAAGGGGCAUAAAUGUGACAUGGAGUGAAAAUAGGACACAAACCCUACAGGUCAUUUAAAAAGAGCUUCUUUUUGUUGUGAUAAUGAUUACAUAAUGGCUUUUGUGUAAGUUGUUUUUGAUUGGUUAGCAGUAGACUACAUAUGGCAAGAGGUAAUUUCAGGCUUGUAUGUUAUUAUCAAGACUGUGCUAUGGAUGCAUAUUUAUGUCGUACUCUCUCUAUCCAUAUUUUUUAAUUUGAAUUGUUUUCCAGUUGUUCCUCUUUCUUCUUGUUGCAAGUCAUUGUUCUUUACUUUCACUUCUGUCUCUACAUUUCCAUUUCAAUAUUAUUCACAAUCCCCUUUCCUCCAUUAUCCAUGUUUAAUCCCUGUUUCUGAACGUUCAAUCUUCUUUCCCCCCUCCCAGGACUCCCACUUUUUUAAGUAAGGAGGGUGUGCGACUAACAGCCAGAGAAAGUGUGGAUAAAACUGUAGAAAAAAAGUGAUUAAAUUCCUAAAGGGCAGAUAACUGAGCAGUGAGACUGCAAGAACAUGAUGUCAGGCUCCCGCGGGCGGCUGCGAGGGGAGGCUGCACUCCGCUCGCAGUACUCACCCUCCAGCCGUCCGCGGUCCCCUCCGCCUCGUGGGUACGGCGAGCGGCAUCCUUCCAGCCUCGGAUGCCGCCCGCCAUUCCCUCCACAUCCCCCAGCGGCAGCAUGCAUGACGCUGCACGCUGGGAGACCGCCCAGGUUUAUACACGCCGUGGUCAGUUACCUGACCUGGCGUUAAAGGCACUGUGCCUCAAUCACAGUGGGAGGUCUAAAUAUCUCCCACGUGUGAUUGUUAAUUCUGAUUGGAAAUUAUCCAAUUAGAAUUAACCUGAUGGUUUAAAUACUUACCUUUCCUGUUCCUCCCGGCCCUGUUGUGGUCUUUGCUUGCUAGUAUUGCUACUUACCUUGUGCUUCUGGUUACGUACUCUCUGGCUUGUUUAUCUGACUCUGUGACUUUCUCCUACCCUUUGACCUCAGGCUCGUUUCACGUUAUUCUGUCUUCUGGUUCCCCUUUACUCGGCUUGUCUCCUGACUAUUCUGUGUGUGCUUAGCCCGGCCACUCUAAGGUCCGGUACGGCACCUUUUGUGUGUGUGUGUGUGUGUGUGUGUGCCAGCGUGUUGGGUUCCCCGAAUCGUGACAUUUGAUUAUUAAGCUGAAGUGGCUUUGGUGCUAUCAGGGUUGCUUGGGUCUUUCCUGUUUCCUCUAUCAUUGCCCUAGGCACUGUAUGCUAUCUAAGCAUGCCCACAGUCAAGAAUUCAUCUAGAUUCAUGUACAAAUGAAGCCUUCACUCGACCAUUAGGACAUCACGAAACGGGCUGAUAUGUUUUUUGUACCGACGAAGAGUCAUCUAAAACUCUAGAAUUACAUUUUCCUUCUAGAAAUCACUAUUCCCCAGAAUCAGGCAGCUCUCUGCUUUCAAAUUCUAUUGCCAUACUCGGGAAAGACUAGCUUAGAGCAUGUCGGUCUUAUACUAGUUGCUCCUCACACUAAUCACCCCUGUGCCUCCGGGUUUCAUUGCAAGAUGGGAGACCGAUCUGGGCUACUGUAAAAAAUCCAUCAACUAACUCAUAAAGCAUCCAUCAGCUCCAUACAGGAAACCAAGCUGCUGCCCAGUUGGUAGUAAAUCCUAUUGAGAUUCAAUGCUAAGAUCUCAGACAUGUGUUGGCAUUGUGGAAGAGCGAUGGGCUCUCUGUUUCAUGUCUGGAGACAGCCCCCCACUAUAGUUCCCUACUGGGAAUCAAUAAAUUCAGUUAUGAAGCAAAUAGUGGGGAAGUAAUAUAUAAAUAUAUUUAACUCUUAGUCAUCUAACAGCGUUCAGUCCGGAUAAAAUCCAGACCAAAUUCAGACUAAUUCGGAGCCUGCUCUGCAAAAUCCAGACAUCGAUAAAUAGUGUGAAAAAGGUUUAGAUUUUGCAUUUGAAAUGCCUUGGUACAGCCCUGGAUGGUUUUGCCCGAUUCUGUAUGGCGCUAUUUGUACUUUAAUUAUCCUAUAAGUAUAUAUAGCUGAACUGUAUACUGCAUAUGUUCUAGUAGCAUAAGAAAACUACAUCUACAUAAAUGAAAUGAUUGAAAUUCAUGAGAUUAUAAAAUAUUUGGAGGAUGGUUAUGCCGUCAUCAUCUGAGACCAAACGGAGUGCUACUGCACAACUGUGGACACUUUAACACCAUCAGUUGUGAUUAUUCCGAGUUCCCACUUAUCAGUAAAGGAAUACUAUAGACACCAAAACAACUUUAGCUUAAUGAAGCAGUUUCUGUGUACAGCUCAUACCCCUGAAGUUUCAAAAGUCAAUUCUCUGCCAUUUAGGAGUUAAAUCACCUUUGUUUUCUGUUUAUACAGGAUUAGCCACACCUCCCCUGGCUGUGACUGACACAGCCUGCACGAAAACAAAAUGGUUUCAUUUUCAAUGAGAUGUAACUUACUUUAAAAGUUUUGAUGAUCUGCUCUGUAAAUUAAACUUUAAUUACAUACAGGAGGCUUCUACUGGGUCUAGCAAGCUAUUAACAGAGGAGGAGAUAAUAAAUUCUAAAAUAAACAUAAUUUGCAAUAAAGGAAGUGUAAACAUUAUAAUGACUCUUUGCAGGAAGUGUUUAGGAAAGCUGUGUACGUAACAUGCAGGGAAGUGUGACUAGUGCUGCAUAAACAAAGUGCUUUAACUCCUAAACGCCAGAGAAUUGAGCAGUGAAACUGCAGGGGCAUAAUCUAUACACCAAAACAGCCUCAUUAAACUAAAGUUGUUAUGGUGACUAUAGUGUCCCUUUAACUACCUAUAUUAAUUGCUCCCAUUCUGCCUUACAUUACCCAUUGUUUUAUCUUAAUCAUUCCAAAGGUGUAUCCAGGUGUAAUAAGUGUUUGUUUGUUUGUAAAAGUUAAAUCUAAAAUAAGAAUAAAAUUCUCAAAAUUGUCUAUAUUCCUAUAUUGCCUUUAUAAUUGCCUUUCCAAUUCACCACAACUCAAACAAUGAAUCUAUUUUGGCCCAAAGAAAUGGUUUAACAUUUUAAAUAGUAUCACUUAUAAAAUAUAUACUAGAGGUUUCUUACAGUUAUUUAUAGACUUACAGCUAGUUCUGUGAUUACAUAAAUAAUGCUAAUGGAAACAUCUUCAGUAGUUACUUUAAGCACUUAGCUUUAAAUGGUGUUAUCUUACACCAAUGGAAUGUCCUGCAGACAUUAUAGUAUCCGUGGUUGGUUCACUUAGAACGCAUUGUGAACAUAGGAGGAAUUCCCCUUUUUUACAUGAAGGAAAUUACUCAUUUCAUUUCCUUUAUUCCGAAAGUCCCUUGUUCUACAGCCCUUUUAGUGCAUAGAUAUUAUUUCCAUUUACUGAUACUUCAGACCAUCUGAUAGGAUGGAGAGGAAAUUCAUAACUAUGGUGGUUGAUAAACUACAAUUUGAAAAUAAAACCUAGAUUUUGAAAAAGGUACUAUUUGGCAUGCUCUUUCAUUUAGCAUCAAAAUUACAGGCAUUUGAGUCAAUAGUUGCGCUUCUGUGCAGUUACUGCUAUGAGUGUUCUUGGCAAGGCCAAACCUUACUUUUAACAAGAUAAAAUAUUAGUGUAUACACAAAUCCCAGUGCAACAAAGUGUAUAAUAAAUAAUCAAUAAUACAACCAAUUACAGAUGUAGUGGUAGGAGAUACCGAAAAUAUAAAAAUAAAAGACAACAUAGUGUGUGCCGUUAAAACACUUUGUGGAAAGAAAAUAUAGGACUACCACUCACAUGGCUCAGAGCCGUACCAGGCUCUGUAUAGCAGGCUCGAGGGUGCCAAUACUGGUUUCAGAUCCCCUGGUUUGGUGGUAGAAGAUGGGACUUGACUCCAGGUGUAUAGUCAAAAUAAACUUUAUUAUAACAUAUAAACUCAAGGUACUAAAGUAGAAUGACAGUGGAACUAAAAGUGAAUACAAAUAAUAAAAAGACAAAGUUCCACUCAUCACCACAAAAGCAGAAACCAGGAGUAUAAAAAAACUAUUUAAAAUAGUAUGAAAAUGCAGCAGACGUGUUUUGGCUUAGUAAGCCUUCUUCCAGUGCUGAUGAUCAGUUCAAAUGUUCGUCUUUUUAUAUCCCAAGAUUUUUUGAAGGAGUGGAGACUGGAUGAAAGUAUAAUGGAGAAGGGAAAGGAGUUACACUGAAAAGGUGCAGCCCUGGAAAAGUCUUGGAGGCGAGCAUCAGAUGUGGGAGCAUGGACAGAGGAUAGACGUGCCUGCGAGAUAGAGGUGAUGGUGGCGCCGUUGACAGACACGGGAGUAGCAACACUUGAGGGAGGAAAGACUAGAAGUUCUGUUUUAACAGGUUGAGUUUAAGGAAGUGAGCAGCCAUCUAAUUGGAAAUUGCGGAGAGGCAGUCAGAGACACGAGUCAAGAUGGGCGGAGAGAGAUCAGGAGAGGACAGGUAGAUUUGCGUGUCAUCUGCAUAGAAAUGAUAAUAGAAGCCAAAAGAGCUGAUGAGUUUACCAAGGGAGGCAAUAUAGAUGGAGAACAGUAGGGGACCAAGGACUGAACCUUGGGGGACACCAACAGAGAGGGUUUGGGAAGAAGAUGCACGCGGGCAAAGAUGGUAUCGCUGCCGUUCCACUUCCUGACCAACUAGACAAAUUUCUUUUGGGAGCUAUAAUUUACCGAACAGGGGGAGCAUUCGCUACAUAGCAGCCAGGGUGAACAUUUGUCGGUAUUCGCAUAGUAACCCCCGAAAGCCGACCAGCCCUCCUGCCCAAAUCUCUGGAACUGUUUUGUGCUAUCACCUUGUGUCUGGUCAGUUAAAACUUUGCUUGACAAUAACUUUAGUUUUACUGAACCGAUCUGAGCGCUUUUUGGAAAUGCUGUGCACUCAGAUCGGGGCUAUUCGGGAAUAUGAAUUUUGUGGGGUUCCUGUAUUUUUUAUGUAUUUUACUGAUAUUGUAAAAUAUUUAUGCAAGUUUCUGUGUUUGAGAGAUAAUUGAGUUAUCCUAAUUUGAGCUCAAUUAUCUCCCAAACACAAAGGCUCUUGGGAAAGAAACCCUUGUAAUUUUGACUGAGAACUCCCAUGCUAGGGGCAAUGCAUAAAAGCAGUGUGUGGCAGGAAUAAAAUCAGUUGUACUCUCAGAACUGUGUGUCGUCCACUUGCUGGGGAGGAGGUGGGUUAUUUCUUUGGCAUUUUUCUUGUUCCUGAUUAUACUCUUGUGGAUACGGCGGAGAAAAGUCCCUGCUAGAACUAGGGCUCCGCUUCAAUCAGAUUUUUAGUUUUCAACCUAUCUAUUGGCGAAUGCCUCUCUCCUCCUGCAGUAUUAAAUAUGCCUGUUAUGUGACUCUUGAAUUUGGAUCAUUCCAAUGGAGUGCAGCAGACGUGUAACUGCUGUGAUCGUGAGUUCAGUACAGUGUUUCAUUAGACAUGUUUAUCUCCUUCUCUGCAACUUGAACUUCUAUCACACACAGGAGACUCCUGUGUGUCUAGCAAGAUAUUAACAGAGGAGGAGAUUCGAGAUUAAACAGAAUUUGCAAUAUACGAAGUUUAAACUUUAAAUCUCUCUUUACAGGAAGUGUAUUUGGAGGCUUGUAAGUCAUAUGCAGGGAGGUGUGACCAGUGCUGUAUAAAAUAAUUACAACUAAUAAAUGACUGAGCAGUGAGACUGCAAGGACAUGAUCUUUACACCAAAAACUGAUUUAUUAAGUUAAAGUUGUUUGGUGCUCUAUAUACAGUACAGUAGGUUGCAGUGGUUAUGGUGCUUAGAGUAUUCUUUUAUUUUUCCUACCUGUAACAUUUGAAUAUUCCCAUUAGACAGCAAUUAUAUCCCAAUCAAUAUGUAUAAAUAAUGUGUGUCCUUGAAACAUAGAGGAUAUAGCUACCCUACUUGAGAAUCAGAAUCUCACUCUAUGACAAUAAUUCCCAACCCUUUUUGGACAAAGCAGGGCUGGCCCAUCCAUAGGUUCUGAUGGGGCCAUGGCCAGGGCAGACUGGGAGGCUGUCCAAAAUUGCAAUAGAUAAGGGUGGUUGGGAGGUAGAGGCUUGUAGCAGACUUUUUCCCCUCUCCGUUCGGUUGUCCGAAUGGCCACGUUUGAAUUUUGGCGGCAUUUUUUCUCUGACGUCGGCGCGCAUGCGCCGCGUCAUAAAUGUGGGCGUGUUCCGAGCGGCCAGCGUCAGAAUAGCUGAGCCGCCCCCCGGAAGUAUCGGAGGAGGACCCGGCGCUGCGCGGGACCGGCGGGGAAAGGUAAGCACUCGUUACACUGGGGGAGCAUUCGCUCCCUAAGAGUCAUGGGGAGCAUUCGUUGGUGUUCGCAUAGGAAUUCCUGAAAGUUGACUGGCCGUUGCCUCUUUUCCUUUGAACCGUGGCCGGCAGCUGGUCAGAACUUUACCCUAAUGGAGAUUCCGCUCCAUCGAAUGAAUCUGAGCGCUAUUUGGACAACAUGGGUGCUCAGAUCCAAGCUAUUCAUGGAUAAAAGACUUGUGAGGUUCCCUGUGUAGUUUGAAUGUAUUUAUGGGGUAUUUUAUAUAUAUAUAUAUAUAUAUAUAUAUAUAUUCAGGAGGUUAAUAAUUAUAUUACCUUUCUUUACUCUUAUAUUUUAUGUAUGGUUCCCUGUAACCAUGAGAUAAUUGAGUUACUGGUCUUUGACUCAGUUAUCUCCCAGACACAGGGACACCUGGGAGGGGUUUGUGUUGUUUUAUAUGGAGACCACUUGCUGGGGUUCUCUGCAUAAAAAGCGGAGUGUGGCACAAAAAACCUCAGUUGUACUCCCAGAACUGUGUCGUCCAAUUGCUGGGGAGGGAUAGAGCACCUUGUUCCAGAGUUCCAGUUACCACGUUUCCAUCUGAGAACAAGGCCUGGUCAGGACUAGUACUUCGCUACAAGGCUGAGCUGGACUUGGCUGGGGACUCAGGGUUAUGCACGUUUCUCAUUGAAGUUCUGGUGAUGUGACAUUACUCACCGUGUGUGCCGAAACUUCAAUAGUUUACUUUAGUUCUAUACUUUGUGGCAGGCAGUGCUGUGGGCUGGCUAAGCUGCCUCCCAGGUUGAAGCGGCAGAUAGCCAGAUACGGAGGGGGAGGGCAGCACAGAAGUCAUGUGCACAGAAGCGGGGCAGGAGCCAGGACUGGACAAGCAGCGGUGGGGACAUGAGGAGUAAAGCCGCUAGGAGUCAGUCCAGACUCCACUCAUGUCAGAACCACCACCGUGGACACAACAAGGAUAAAUGUCAUGAUUGGCUGCAGUGCACACACAAUAUGCAGCACAUUGGAAGCCAAUCCUCAGCACCCACACAUUGUAUCUCAAGCACCCACACAGGCACACACUGCAUCCUCAGCACACAAACAGACACAGACUGCAUCCCCAGCACACACACACACACACACACACACACACAGACAGACUGCAUCCCCAUCACACACACUGCUUCCCUGCACAUACACAGACACACACUGCAUCUACAUAUAUUUAUCUAUUACACAAACACACAUACUGCAUCCACUACACAUUCUCUGCAUCCAUUAUACACGCAUACUCUGUCUCCACUAUGAUUUGGUGGCAUGGUUUUGGGGUGUGGGAGGGAGAGCGGCAGCAUUUCAUCCUUGGACCCAGGCAGCAGAAUGUAUUAGGCCGGCCCUGGGACAAAGUAACAGUUAAAUGAGAAAAACUAGGCACCCCAUACUUUUUUUAUUUUUUAUUUGCUGCAAAUAAAUGUCACAUUUUAAGGACCACAUUCACACCAUUACAGCCCAGAAGUUAAAAGGGAUACUCUAAGCACCGAAAUAACUGUCCCUUCUGUCUGGCAAUGUAAAACAUUCUAAAAAAAGCAAUGUGUACAUUUUGCUUAAAGUAUGCUCCUAGUGGCCAUUGGACAGACACUUUCCCUUCAGACCUCUGUUAUUUGAAGGUCAUCAUGUCCAGUGCUUCUCAGUGUACAGAACUGGAUGAAAAAAAGUCAUCUGAACUAAUGAUUUCAUUAGAGGGGGAGCAGCAGCAAUGAGUUCACUGUUCCAGAGAUAGAUUAUAGGUAAUUUUUUUUUUUUUUUUUUUUUUAAUAAAACAAGGAUAACCUAAACAAAAAAAAGAAAUUGAUCUUAAAAAAGGUAAAUAUCUACACACACAAUUUAUUAAUGACACUAGAGCAGAUCAAAGUCAGAAGUUCAUCCCAGAAACAGAAUCCGUGACUACAAUUCAAUAGACAUAUACAAUUUGAAGAUGGCUCGCCAAUCUGUACAGUCACUCUCACACCACUUUCUUCUUUUAUUACACACUCUGUACAGUUUGAGCCUCCACCAAAUGUCAGUAUUAAUGUAGUCCACCUAAUCACGUGUAAUAUGGUAAGUGAUAUAGUACAUACAAGCCAGUCAGUGUUACAGAUAAGGGGAAAAAUAGAACAUUGUAAUGUAAGAAAAUAAGGGGAUAAUUAGCAUUUCUCGAGAAAUCUCACUUCACAUUCUGUUCUUAUACUGUGUAAAUGAGAUACAAUAUCCUCCACCCUGGCUGUUUCCCUCUAGGGGUGUAAAAUGGCUAUAUAAAGACACAUGUAUUGCAGAAAAUGAGAAGUCACGUAGGAGUUCAUUAUACAUGGUUAUUACACAGUAUCAUAUUGUGUACUUGGAGAAAUAAAGCUGCAUGAGCCAAUUCCUAGGAAAUGAAACUUCUCUGUAAUAACGGGGGAUGUUUUACAGGGAACCAAAUGUCCUGAUACACUAAAAGCCUUUUGAAAUGAUUAAAUUUGUUUUGCAGGGACAACCACAGAAUAAUUCAAAACUCACAACAAAAUGUUUCUCAACAUGGAUGGCUGGAGAGAGACAGAAAUACAGACAAAUGGUUGAGAAAAUGAAAAUAAAAAGCAGACAAAUUCAAUUUG